AUGAACGCUGGCGGCGUGCCUAAUACAUGCAAGUCGCGCGAACAGACGAGGAGCUUGCUCCUCUGACGUUAGCGGCGGACGGGUGAGUAACACGUGGAUAACCUACCUAUAAGACUGGGAUAACUUUGGGAAACCGGAGCUAAUACCGGAUAAUAUAUUGAACCGCAUGGUUCAAUAGUGAAAGACGGUUUUGCUGUCACUUAUAGAUGGAUCCGCGCCGCAUUAGCUAGUUGGUAAGGUAACGGCUUACCAAGGCGACGAUGCGUAGCCGACCUGAGAGGGUGAUCGGCCACACUGGAACUGAGACACGGUCCAGACUCCUACGGGAGGCAGCAGUAGGGAAUCUUCCGCAAUGGGCGAAAGCCUGACGGAGCAACGCCGCGUGAGUGAUGAAGGUCUUCGGAUCGUAAAACUCUGUUAUUAGGGAAGAACAAAUGUGUAAGUAACUAUGCACGUCUUGACGGUACCUAAUCAGAAAGCCACGGCUAACUACGUG
RNAcentral lists this ribosomal RNA (496 nucleotides) under uncultured bacterium. Its description in RNAcentral is "partial 16S ribosomal RNA". It matches the Rfam family "Bacterial small subunit ribosomal RNA", at positions 29 to 507 of the family's 1533-position model. The record is from RNAcentral.